CGGAUCAGCAUGCCGCGGUGAAUACGUUCCCGGGCCUUGUACACACCGCCCGUCACACCAUGGGAGCCGGUGACACCCGAAGUCAGUAGCCUAACAGCAAUGAGGGCGCUGCCGAAGGUGGGAUUGGUGACUGGGGUGAAGUCGUAACAAGGUAAC
This 156-nucleotide ribosomal RNA is filed under the name uncultured bacterium. RNAcentral describes it as "partial 16S ribosomal RNA". It matches the Rfam family "Bacterial small subunit ribosomal RNA", at positions 1345 to 1500 of the family's 1533-position model. The record is from RNAcentral.